Molecule: long non-coding RNA, 611 nt
Organism: Apis cerana (Asiatic honeybee)
Lineage: Eukaryota; Metazoa; Arthropoda; Insecta; Hymenoptera; Apidae
Source: RefSeq, a predicted model, not a curated record
CAACAAUGAAAUAAAUUGAUUUUUUAAUUCUUUUUCAUAUUCAAGUUCAUCACGUAAAGCAAGUUCUGCAAUGAGAGUUUCACUAAGCGCUCCCACCAAGGAUUCCAUUUCUCCAAGUAACUCAUUAAGCUGGCUGGAGUGGAGAGCCUAAAACUUCUCUGCUUCUCUCCAACGCUUCGUCGCUAUCUAAUAAAGAUCCAUCAGAAUCUGGUGAUCUUUCCAUGGAUGGACUUUCCUACACAAGAUAAAUUUUCUUUUUUUCGCGUAAAUUUCUAUCUAGUUUUUGAAAAAUUUGAUUUUUACCUGCAUUAUAUCAUCUAUUUCACGGAGUACUUCUUCGGCAGUUUUCAACGGUUCCUCUGGACUAUGGGUAUCGGUGCUACUGGACAAGAUCAAAGCAUGCAUGUCCAAAUCAGUUGCAACAGCCUCAUCUUCGCUACUUAAAUCCUCUAGUUCAGGUCUAUAGCAAAUAAAAUGAAAGCGUCUAAUUUGCAAAUCGUGCUUUACAUAUACUUUCAAAAUAUAUUAAAAUGCUUCUUACUAUUUUAAAAUAUGUAUGUUUUUUUGCUGAAAAAAAGCUGCAAAAUAAAACUGAAGAAGACUAUAAAAAA